Molecule: ribosomal RNA, 863 nt
Filed under: uncultured bacterium
Lineage: Bacteria
Description: bacterial SSU rRNA
Rfam family: Bacterial small subunit ribosomal RNA
Source: RNAcentral
GUUGAGCGCUGAAGGUUGGUACUUGUACCGACUGGAUGAGCAGCGAACGGGCGAUUAACGCGUGGGGAAUCUGCCUUUGAGCGGGGGACAACAUUCGUUAACGAAUGCUAAUACCGCAUAACAACUUUAAACACAAGUUUUAAGUUUGAAAGAUGCAAUUGCAUCACUCAAAGAUGAUCCCGCGUUGUAUUAGCUAGUUGGUGAGGUAAAGGCUCACCAAGGCGAUGAUACAUAGCCGACCUGAGAGGGUGAUCGGCCACAUUGGGACUGAGACACGGCCCAAACUCCUACGGGAGGCAGCAGUAGGGAAUCUUCGGCAAUGGACGAAAGUCUGACCGAGCAACGCCGCGUGAGUGAAGAAGGUUUUCGGAUCGUAAAACUCUGUUGGUAGAGAAGAACGUUGGUGAGAGUGGAAAGCUCAUCAAGUGACGGUAACUACCCAGAAAGGGACGGCUAACUACGUGCCAGCAGCCGCGGUAAUACGUAGGUCCCGAGCGUUGUCCGGAUUUAUUGGGCGUAAAGCGAGCGCAGGUGGUUUAUUAAGUCUGGUGUAAAAGGCAGUGGCUCAACCAUUGUAUGCAUUGGAAACUGGUAGACUUGAGUGCAGGAGAGGAGAGUGGAAUUCCAUGUGUAGCGGUGAAAUGCGUAGAUAUAUGGAGGGACACCGGUGGGGAAAGCGGCUCUCUGGGCUGUAACUGAAACUGAAGGUCUAAAAAGUGGGGAGGAAACAGGGAAUAAAUACCCGGGAGUCCCCCCCCCAAAAAAAUGAAUGGUUGAUGUUAGGGGGUAUAAAUUUCUCUGUUAUCCCACUUAAACCAAAAAACACUCCCCCCUGGGGAGGAACAAACCCCCAGGGUUAAAAC